CCUACGGGAGGCAGCAGUAGGGAAUCUUCCACAAUGGGCGAAAGCCUGAUGGAGCAACGCCGCGUGGGUGAAGAAGGUCUUCGGAUCGUAAAACCCUGUUGUUAGAGAAGAAAGUGCGUGAGAGUAACUGUUCACGUUUCGACGGUAUCUAACCAGAAAGCCACGGCUAACUACGUGCCAGCAGCCGCGGUAAUACGUAGGUGGCAAGCGUUAUCCGGAUUUAUUGGGCUUAAAGGGAACGCAGGCGGUCUUUUAAGUCUGAUGUGAAAGCCUUCGGCUUAACCGGAGUAGUGCAUUGGAAACGGGGAGACGUGAGUGCAGAAGAGGAGAGUGGAACUCCAUGUGUAGCGGUGAAAUGCGUAGAUAUAGGGAAGAACACCAGUGGCGAAAGCGGCUCUCUGGUCUGUAACUGACGCUGAGGUUCGAAAGCGUGGGUAGCAAACAGGAUUAGAUACCCUUGUAGUC
RNAcentral lists this ribosomal RNA (465 nucleotides) under uncultured bacterium. RNAcentral describes it as "partial 16S ribosomal RNA". It matches the Rfam family "Bacterial small subunit ribosomal RNA", at positions 338 to 795 of the family's 1533-position model. The record is from RNAcentral.